AACGAACGCUGGCGGCGCGUCUUAACCAUGCAAGUCGAGCGGCAGGCAGCAAUGCCGAGAGCGGCGGACUGGUGAGUAACACGUGGAUAACGUACCCCGAUGCCCGGGACAGCCUGUAGAAAUAGAGGGUGAUACCGGAUAGAUCACUGUAUACGGAAGGUAGACAGCGGGAAAGGAGCUUCGGCUCCGCGCCGGGAACGGUCUGCGGCCCAUCAGCUGGACGGCGGGGUAACGGCCCGCCGUGGCGAGGACGGGUAUCCGGCCUGAGAGGGCGGACGGACACAUUGGGACUGAGAUACGGCCCAGACUCCUACGGGAGGCAGCAGGUAAGAAUAUUCCGCAAUGGGGGAAACCCUGACGGAGCGACGCCGCGUGAACGAAGAAGGCCGGAAGGUUGUAAAGUUCUUUUCUGUCCGAGGAAUAAGUGUAGGAGGAAAUGCCUGCAUGGUGACGGUAGGGCAGGAAUAAGCACCGGCUAAUUACGUGCCAGCAGCCGCGGUAACACGUAAGGUGCGAGCGUUGUUCGGAAUUAUUGGGCGUAAAGGGCAUGCAGGCGGGUCGCCAAGCUUGGUAAGAAAUACCGGGGCUCAACUCCGGAGCUAUAUUGAGAACUGGCGAGCUGGAGUUGCCGAAGGGUAUCCGGAAUUCCGCGUGAAGGGGUGAAAUCUGUAGAUAUGCGGAAGAACACCGAUGGCGAAGGCAGGAUACCGGCGGACGACUGACGCUGAGGUGCGAAGGUGCGGGGAGCAAACAGG
This 755-nucleotide ribosomal RNA is filed under the name Treponema socranskii. Its description in RNAcentral is "bacterial SSU rRNA". It matches the Rfam family "Bacterial small subunit ribosomal RNA", at positions 28 to 776 of the family's 1533-position model. Lineage: Bacteria; Pseudomonadati; Spirochaetota; Spirochaetia; Treponematales; Treponemataceae. The record is from RNAcentral.